RNAcentral lists this long non-coding RNA (1329 nucleotides) under Gadus morhua (Atlantic cod). Its description in RNAcentral is "lncRNA (ENSGMOG00000035933.1)". The record is from RNAcentral. Lineage: Eukaryota; Metazoa; Chordata; Actinopteri; Gadiformes; Gadidae.
AUGUGUGUUCUUGGCUCUGUGUGUCUGUUUUUCGAGUCUUCCUGCGUCAUUGCACUACUCUCUCUCCCCCCUCUAUCUCUCUCUCUCUCUCGCUCAUCUUCCCUCCCUCUCACUCUCUCGCCCUCUUUCUCUCUUCCUUCCUCUCUCUCCCUCCCUUCCUCUCUCUCCCUCCCUUCCUCUCUAUCUCUCUCCCUUCCUCUCUCUCCCUUCCUUCCUCUCUCUCGCACCUCUCUCCCUCCCUCACUCUCUCCCUUCCUCUCUAACUCUUCCACUCUCCUUAUAAUUCUCCCGCUCCGUCUCUCUCUCCCUCUUACUCUAUCUCCCUCUCUAUCACUUUAUCUCUCCGUAUCUCUCCAUCUCUCUGUCUGCCUCCUUCUCUCUCUCUUGCUCUCUGUCUCUUUCUUUCUCCCUCUCUCUGUAUCUAUCUUUCUCCCUCCCUCUCUCUCUCCCUCUCUCUGUCUCUCUAUUUCUCCCCCCUCCCUCUCUCUCUCUCUGUACCUCUUUUACUCCCUCUCUCUCUCUCUCUCUCUCUCUCUCUCUCUCUCUCUCUCUCUCUCUCUCUCUCUCUCUCUCUCUCUCUCUCUCUCUCUCUCUCUCUCUCUCUCUCUCUCUCUCUCUCUCUCUAUCUAUUACUCCCUCCCUCUCUCUCUCUCUCUCUCUCUCCCUCUCUAUAUCUAUUACUCCCUCCCUCCCUCUCUCUCUCUCUCCCUCUCUCUCCCUCUCUCUCCCUGUUUAUGCAGUGAAGGGGCUCUUUCUGGCAGGGAGGACGGGAGGCAGGAUAUGCAUGCCUCCCACCGUCACUCGAUAUCUGUGGAAAAAAACGGGUCUGAUGAUUGGAUAGUGCAACACCCCCCCCCCCCCCAAACCCUGUGCUCUACAUCCCAGCUCAGUUUAUCCCCCAGCUCUCUCAGCCACCACAAGCCAAAGUACCUUGUAACACAUUGUUUUUGUUGUUGUGCUGUUGUUCUAUGUGGGGUGGGAGGAAUGUACAGUAUGGCCCAAUCCCAUUUCUACCCCUUACCCCUUCCCCUUACCCCUCCCCCUUGUUUUGAAGGGGUAAGGGGUAGAAAUGGGAUUUGGCCUAUGUAUUGCCUGAAGGGAGCCAUACUAUAUAACAAUAUUACAAGAAAUGACACAACAAACGACGCAAAAGCUCAUAAGUCAUAUGAGCUAGAGGUGGUUAUAGGGUGUUUGGACUCCCGAAGAAGUCUAACCUUUACCCCGCUGACUUCAAUUACAUUUAUCUCUAUCUUCACCAUAAUCUGUCGCUCACAACAACGAAGAAUGUAUGUGUUCGACCAAAGUCAUGGCCGAGACGCUGCACGCUGA